AGUGGCGAACGGGCGAGUAAAGUAUCGGAACGUGCCCAGUCGUGGGGGAUAACGUAGCGAAAGUUACGCUAAUACCGCAUACGAUCUAUGGAUGAAAGCGGGGGAUCGCAAGACCUCGCGCGAUUGGAGCGGCCGAUAUCAGAUUAGGUAGUUGGUGGGGUAAAGGCUCACCAAGCCGACGAUCUGUAGCUGGUCUGAGAGGACGACCAGCCACACUGGGACUGAGACACGGCCCAGACUCCUACGGGAGGCAGCAGUGGGGAAUUUUGGACAAUGGGCGCAAGCCUGAUCCAGCCAUGCCGCGUGCAGGAUGAAGGCCUUCGGGUUGUAAACUGCUUUUGUACGGAACGAAAAGGUUUGGCCUAAUAAGCUGAGCUCAUGACGGUACCGUAAGAAUAAGCACCGGCUAACUACGUGCCAGCAGCCGCGGUAAUACGUAGGGUGCGAGCGUUAAUCGGAAUUACUGGGCGUAAAGCGUGCGCAGGCGGUUAUGUAAGACAGAUGUGAAAUCCCCGGGCUCAACCUGGGAACUGCAUUAGUGACUGCAUAGCUGGAGUACGGCAGAGGGGGGAUGGAAUUCCGCGUGUAGCAGUGAAAUGCGUAGAUAUGCGGAGGAACACCGAUGGCGAAGGCAAUCCCCUGGGCCUGUACUGACGCUCAUGCACGAAAGCGUGGG
This 676-nucleotide ribosomal RNA is filed under the name uncultured Curvibacter sp. Its description in RNAcentral is "bacterial SSU rRNA". It matches the Rfam family "Bacterial small subunit ribosomal RNA", at positions 94 to 765 of the family's 1533-position model. Lineage: Bacteria; Pseudomonadati; Pseudomonadota; Betaproteobacteria; Burkholderiales; Comamonadaceae. The record is from RNAcentral.